UAGUGGCGCACGGGUGCGUAACGCGUGGGAAUCUGCCCUUGGGUUCGGAAUAACAGUUGGAAACGACUGCUAAUACCGGAUGAUGUCGUAAGUCCAAAGAUUUAUCGCCCAAGGAUGAGCCCGCGUAGGAUUAGCUAGUUGGUGAAGUAAAGGCUCACCAAGGCGACGAUCCUUAGCUGGUCCGAGAGGAUGAUCAGCCACACUGGGACUGAGACACGGCCCAGACUCCUACGGGAGGCAGCAGUAGGGAAUAUUGGACAAUGGGCGAAAGCCUGAUCCAGCAAUGCCGCGUGAGUGAUGAAGGCCUUAGGGUUGUAAAGCUCUUUUACCCGAGAUGACAAUGACAGUACCGGGAGAAUAAGCCUCGGCUAACUCCGUGCCAGCAGCCGCGGUAAU
This 396-nucleotide ribosomal RNA is filed under the name uncultured Sphingomonas sp. Its description in RNAcentral is "bacterial SSU rRNA". It matches the Rfam family "Bacterial small subunit ribosomal RNA", at positions 93 to 524 of the family's 1533-position model. The record is from RNAcentral. Lineage: Bacteria; Pseudomonadati; Pseudomonadota; Alphaproteobacteria; Sphingomonadales; Sphingomonadaceae.